GUCUUUCUAUGACAUUAACACAUUGUGAUUUCCUGGCCUUUGAGGAGCAGAGGAGGGGUGGGGAGAGCGUGAGAAAGCUCAAAGGCGAGGAGGCAGCUCAGGCGACGGCCCUUUGCCCAGAACCAUCACUCAAGGGGCCGCCAGGCCUCCUCCGCGCCCUCCCUGCCGCGGGAGCUUAAGGGGAAGUAGCAGGAGGCGUGAGGCCCAAGAGAGCAUCGUCCCUUUAUGCCGAGCAGGAGCGGGGGCUUAGGGACGUGCAGAGGCCAGAGCGCAUCUUUUCUGAGACAGAUGUGUUGGUCAAAGUGUGCGGGAAGCGUUCUGUAGCCUUGUAAUAUCCCGACACAGAGGCACACACACCGCCUCCCAGGAACCCAGCUCUCCCGGGCAAGCUGCAAGCCCGGUGGUGAAGGGGUUCGGCGCUAAUUAAGCACGUUGGGAACGGAGGGAGUGCUCACCCAGGCGCCGCCGCCCGGUUUCCAGCGCGAGGACCCGAGGGCUCGCCGUUCCCCUUUGCUGACUGCAGGAUGGAGCCGAAUCCCUCAAGAUGUUCCCCUGUUCUCGACAAUGCCUCGCCAAGGUCCCCCAGGGACGUCUUAAUCCCAGACCACCUCCUCAGCCUGGUGUCUGGCCGGGACCCACCGCCCCCGCAGCGGGCCCUAGAGGCAAGAGGGGAGGGUGCGUCCUCGGCGCCCGGGACGCUGAGAAAACUCUCCGGGCCUCCGCCCGCCGCUCUCCCCUCCUCCUCCCCUCCUCCUCCUCGCCUCCUCCCUGCUCUCCAGCACCGCCCGGACAAAGCGGGCUCGAGCGCGUUCCCCCACUCCAGGCCGCAGUAAUAGAUAGCUCGGCAGCAGGCGGUUUGAAAGGAAUUCAUUAGGACGCUGCCUGCCCUGCCUCCGCGCACUUCACGCCCAGACCCCGAGGUGGCUCCGGCGGUGCGAGGGAAGUGAAUUCCCGUUGGAAUCCACGGGGGAGGAGGUGUCUGUGGGGUCUCCAGGCUUUUCCCCUCCUUCCUCUACUCCCACAAAAGAAGAAAAAGAAAAGGAAAAUAAAAAGAUCGAAGACCAGGGCAAAAGGCUGAUUUCUUUAUGGGCAUAAUAAAUACUCCCUCCCAUUAUGAGAUAGUUACAGUAACACAGUCUGGGGUGCCAUUACCUUGUUUUUUUGAAUCCUAAGGAAAAAAACGGCCGACUCCUUCCUUGAUUUACGCGGCUGCAGCCGGGGCCCUUCGCCGCCGGCCCUGGCACGCCUGUGUAAGCUGUUUCUCACUUCGCCCAUCCACUUUGCUAUUUUGCCGCAAAAAUAUUGUCCUAGGGACUGAUUACCCUCCG
Molecule: non-coding RNA, 1328 nt
Organism: Microcebus murinus (gray mouse lemur)
Lineage: Eukaryota; Metazoa; Chordata; Mammalia; Primates; Cheirogaleidae
Source: RefSeq, a predicted model, not a curated record